Molecule: long non-coding RNA, 1184 nt
Organism: Branchiostoma belcheri (Belcher's lancelet)
Lineage: Eukaryota; Metazoa; Chordata; Leptocardii; Amphioxiformes; Branchiostomatidae
Exons: 3
Source: RefSeq, a predicted model, not a curated record
AUACACAUACCAUAUAUAGUAACUACUUACUAACGGUGACCACCGUUAUAUAGUAACUAAUAAGCUAAGAGGCUCUCUUCACCUCCUAGGAUGUGACCGUUAUUAGUAACCUCACUGCUUUACUAUAGAAAAUAAACGGUCGGGUGUAGUCCUCGCGAGAGUUGUAAAAUCCGUCGCGAGAUAAUGCGAGACUAGACUUGCGGUUGCCGGCUCCGCUGAAAUGGACGACAGACGGGACGGCCUGGCGAUUUAUAUUUUCUCUUCAUCUCUACUCUGACCUGGACCAAUUCCUGGACCAUUUAUAGGCUACUACAUAUUCUGCAGUACGCCGAAGCAGAGGAAAUGGCAGCUGGUAGGAUUGAGAGUCGCAGCAUGCAAUACUGGGGAACCAGAAGGAGUCCCAAUGGAACCGCUUCACAUGCUGAUGUACAAGGAACUUAAGCUGGGCUUCUAGUAGUUUUCUUUGCCCCAGGCCAUGGAGGAGUACCGGGAGGACUUCGCCUUUGAGGAAAGCAUUGAAAAUGAAGCUGUGUGCCAAAUAAGAAAGCAGAGCUAUGAGAAAAGAACAGUCAAAGUCAUCAAGCACUUAAGCUUGCUUCAACAAGAUUUCUGCACAAGACUUGCUCUCAGGGCAGUGAGAACAGAGGAUAGCAGGCACCACUGUAACUAGUCAGCUAUCUUGCCCAACUGGAAAGAAGGCUAUUAUUUAGUUUUAAAAAAAGUGUUGAUAAGAUAACACAUUUGACAUAUGUAGGCAUGUCAGCUGAUUUUUAGGUAAAAUGACCUGACCACUUUCUGGUAAUGUUGAUGGUAUAUUGUAUAUACAAUACACAUGUACUGUUUACCUAGCAUACCACAAAUGAUGUGUAAUUUGUAUAAAAGGUAUUCUUGUAUACUUUGAUAAUUAACCUUGAAUUGUACAUUAACCUUUCUGAAGGCAAACCUUUCUGAAGGCAAACCUUUCUGAAGGCCUGUGUUAUCUUCUAUGACUAAAUAUAAGCGGCAGCAGUUUUCAUUAGUUCAAGUAUCAUAUCCUUGCACAGAAGGUACCAUGAACUUUAAUGCAAUUUUGUACACACUGUUUGCAAUAUAUCAAGCAAUGAAAUAGCAAAAUACAUAAUGAGUGUGGCUGUGCAGGUAUCAUUUUAUCAGUCAAUUUAUAAACAUUAAAUAAACCUCCUUUG